Long non-coding RNA from Ailuropoda melanoleuca (giant panda), 2653 nucleotides. RefSeq lists it as uncharacterized. The record is from RefSeq and is a predicted model, not a curated record. NCBI's taxonomy places the organism in Eukaryota, Metazoa, Chordata, Mammalia, Carnivora, Ursidae. The transcript has 3 exons.
CUCACACCUGGAGGAGCCCUGUCACUCUGGAGCUGGGACCUGUGAGAAGGACAGUGAGCACGUGAUUGUCCUCUCCAGGUCUCCACUGACAGCGGUUCCCUUAGGGGGCGGAACUCCAACUGAAGCUGAAAGGAUUGUGUUCUGACGCCGAGGCACAAGGGAGAAUGAGGAGGAAAUACCAGAGGUCAAGGGUUCCACGGAGGACAUGCCCCUGAAUCAGCCCGUAGGGGCAAGACGAGGGAGCAGGCUGAGGCCCAGAAAGAAGCUCUGAAUCUAAAGUGCCCCACUGAUUCAUUCCAGAUUUAUUAAAAAGGUGCAUCUUGGAGAAUUCUAUCAGCAAACCGAGCCUCUUCGUUCUUUUGUAACAUGAUCCCUGAUGCUGCGGAAGAGACGGAAAUUAUUCAUUUCACCGAUUCUUACUGAUGGACGUUUGAGCUGUUUCUAGGGUUUGGGUUUUUUGUUUGUUGGUUUGGUUUGGUUUUGGUGUGACAACAAUGUUGCGAUAAUCCCGUAGCUGCCAUCUCAUACGCACCCACGUAUAGGUGCAGAAUAAAUUUCCCCAAAUGGUUUGCUGGCUUGUGGGUGCUGUAUUCGUUUUCUAUGGCUGCUUAGCUCACAGGGCAUUAUGGCCGUAUUAGCUCACAGUCUGCUGGUCAGAAGGCCAGCCCCCUGUGGUGGGUGCCCUGCUCAGGUCAAAUCAAGGGGUUGUCAAGGCUUAGUUCUCGUCCUCUGGAGGCUCUGGGGGAAAACCUGUUUCCAAGCUCAUUGCUGUCAUUUGCAGAGUUUGGUUCCUGGUGGUCAUGGAACUGAGAUCUCUGGGUUUCUGGGUGGCCAUCAACUGGUGGUCUCCCUCGGCUCCUCGAUGACAUCUAUAUUCUUUGCUGUGUGGCUUCCCCCAAAUGGCACGAUGAAUUCUUCUCAGGCUUCAAAUCUCUGACUUCUCCUUCUGAGACCAGCCAGAGAAAAUUCUGUCUUUAAAGGGCUUCCCUGAUCUGGUCCAGCCCACUCAAUGUAAUCUCUACCUUAAAAUCAACUGAUAGAGGACCUUACUUACAUCUGCAAAAAUCUCUUUGCCAUAGAAUGAAACAUAAUUCUUGAGUUCACAUUUUCUCAUAUUCACAGAUUCUGCCCAUGUUGCAAGAGAUCACACAAAGGUGAAAGCCAUGAGAGUCGCCUUAGAAUUCUGCCUAACACAGAUGUAUUUGUAAUGUUUAUAGAUAUUGCCAUUUUGUCCCCCACAGGGAUUGUGCUGAGAGAACGCCCCUCCCCCAGCGAUGAUGAGCUUGCCUUCUUUUCCAGCGUCACCUAAAGGAUGCUAUUCAACUUUUGGCUUUCUGCCAAUUGGAUGGGUGAAAAAUGGAACCUACGUGUAUUUUAAAUUUGUGGUUAUCUUAUGAAUAAGGCUGCGGAUUUCUUCAAAAGCCUCAAAGCCAUUGAGAGCUCUUUUUUCAGUAGAGCUUCUGGUUUUGAGUCCUAGAAAGGGCUUUCUAACUGUAAAGUCAAUCAAAAAUCCUCCUAUGUUUUCUUCUGAUGUUUUUAUGGUUUCAUGUUUUGAUCCACUGGUUCUUGGAACCGGCAGCUUCCCUCGUCAUUUCCUCAGCAGCGAGUACAAAGCUGGACCCCAAAGGGCUUGCGGAUUGGGGUAGAGGAAGAAGCUACCAUGGUGGGACUCUCUAAAUGCUGGGCUCCGUGAGCUCUGCCAGAGAUCCCAGCCAGCAGAGCUUCCCGCUUCCCUUCCUCCAGCACUCAUUGUGUCCUAGGGUUGGCCCAGGGGACCCAGAGGUAAGGGGGUCCCUGCCCUGCCUGAAGAUCUCCCGGUCUGGAGAGUGAGACGAGCACAUGGCCAGAAGAGAGUCCAGAUAGAGAAUGAAGCUAAGGGCACAGGAGAGGGGGAGGGGGAUUCUGGUGGGGGUAUUUGGGAAGCUUCAGGGAAGAGUUGGCCUCUGACCCGAGCCUUAAGGAGGGGAAAUGUAAUGGUGGUGAUGGGGGGAGGGGCCCAGCAGGAGCAAAGACAGGGAGAUGGGAAUAUCAGCCUGAAGUGUAGGCUGGAGAGAAGGAUUUAGUGAUACAUGAGGUCCUCAAGGGUAAGGACAGGGUAUGACUUAUCUCCAUGCAUCAGCCAGAGUUUGAUAAAUGAAAUGAAGCAGAAGGGACACGGGUCUUUGAAUCCCAGGCUUAAUCAUUUUUCCUUUACAGUGAGAAGCAAAGACCUCCAAGAAGAAGCCCUUGGCUCUGCCCUCAUUCAGCUCAGAACCUGGUCACUCUCUGCACACCACUGCCCCCUUGCGGCAGAUCUGGGAGUUCUCCAUGACUAGCCUCAGGAGUCAGGUGGAGGCGGAGGGAAUCUGGGAACUGAAGGUGGGGAGGAAGCUGAGUGGCAUCUCAGAGCUUUGAAAAACCAUGAAAUCCUAGUCUGAGAACGUCUGAGUCCAACAGGCCCUCAGGGGCCAUGUGGCCUGACUUCUUCAUUAUGUAUGGAGAAACCAAGUCUCAAUAAGGAUGCUGCCAGGGAGUAGAAAGCACCAGACUCAGUUAAGAUUCAAAAAGCCCAGCAGGGGCGCCUGGGUGGCACAGAGGUUAAGCGUCUGCCUUCACGCUCAGGGCGUGAUCCCGGCGUUCUGGAAUCGAGCCCCACAUCAGGCUCCUCCGCUGG